RNAcentral lists this long non-coding RNA (968 nucleotides) under Sarcophilus harrisii (Tasmanian devil). RNAcentral describes it as "lncRNA (ENSSHAG00000005300.2)". Lineage: Eukaryota; Metazoa; Chordata; Mammalia; Dasyuromorphia; Dasyuridae. The record is from RNAcentral.
AGGGCCGCGCCAGCCUGGGUGACCCCUCCUGGGCCUUUGCCAAGAAAACCCCCACGGGGGCACGGGAGUCGCCGAGCAAUGACAAAAGCAGAGCCCUGCCCUCAGCAGGGGCGCCCAGCUCGGUGACGUCCGGGAGGCAGCAGUCAGGAGGCUCUGCUGGAGGAGAGGUUUGGUCCCGUCGUGCAGCAGGAAGCCUCCGUGGAGGCCGCCACCCGAUCGGAGCCUCCACGAAGCUGCCCUGCACCUGGUGAGGGCCUCCACCAAGCCUCUGCUAAGCCAGCCGCCAUUGCCCACUGAAGCUGCCCAGUGGGGGCCUCCGGGAAGCCGCCCACCGCCCGCCGGGGGCCUCCGCCACACAGGCCGCAGAACUCGGGAGGCUGGAGGAAGGGCAGGACGCCCUGGGCCCGUGGGCGAGAGAGCAAGAAUCUGGGCUGGCAGGUCCUGGCCACAGGCAUCCCUCCGGAGGACCUGGACGGCUCUGGCGAUGACGACGACGGCUUCUCCGGCUCUGGGGCGGGGGCCCCCUCUAGGACCUCAGUGUUCGGCCUGAACCUCCUGCCCAGCAAGACUCCUGUGCUCACCAGCACCUUGACCAGCACUCCGGCCCAGCCCCCGCCCAGCACCCCCGGGGGAGUAGCCCCAGAAGCCUCCUCGGUGGACUCUGUGCUCCUGCCUGGAGGGCUGCCUGAGCCCCGGCCGGCCCCCAGCCAGGAGGAGACCCUCCCCGUGUCUCCGGCCGGGACGUUUCUCCCCACCACCCACUGGCCUUUGACAGCGGGAGCCCCCGGGGCCCUGGACCCCGCUCUGGGGCUCCCAAUGGCGCCUUCCCCCGAGUUUCCAGACUCUGGGGACGAAGGCCUCCUGGCCAGCGCCCCAGGGAGCGGGCAGCCCGAGGGAAGCUCCAGCCAGCACCCAGGGGAGGAGAGCUCGGGAAGUGGGAGUGAUGACUUCACCUUCGCCCCAUCCGG